GACGAACGCUGGCGGCGUGCCUAAUACAUGCAAGUAGAACGCUGAAGAGAGGAGCUUGCUCUUCUUGGAUGAGUUGCGAACGGGUGAGUAACGCGUAGGUAACCUGCCUUGUAGCGGGGGAUAACUAUUGGAAACGAUAGCUAAUACCGCAUAACAAUGGAUGACACAUGUCAUUUAUUUGAAAGGGGCAAUUGCUCCACUACAAGAUGGACCUGCGUUGUAUUAGCUAGUAGGUGAGGUAAUGGCUCACCUAGGCGACGAUACAUAGCCGACCUGAGAGGGUGAUCGGCCACACUGGGACUGAGACACGGCCCAGACUCCAACGGGAGGCAGCAGUAGGGAAUCUUCGGCAAUGGGGGCAACCCUGACCGAGCAACGCCGCGUGAGUGAAGAAGGUUUUCGGAUCGUAAAGCUCUGUUGUAAGUCAAGAACGGGUGUGAGAGUGGAAAGUUCACACUGUGACGGUAGCUUACCAGAAAGGGACGGCUAACUACGUG
RNAcentral lists this ribosomal RNA (497 nucleotides) under uncultured bacterium. Its description in RNAcentral is "partial 16S ribosomal RNA". It matches the Rfam family "Bacterial small subunit ribosomal RNA", at positions 28 to 507 of the family's 1533-position model. The record is from RNAcentral.